RNAcentral lists this non-coding RNA (28 nucleotides) under Rattus norvegicus (Norway rat). The record is from RNAcentral. Lineage: Eukaryota; Metazoa; Chordata; Mammalia; Rodentia; Muridae.
UCACACAGAUUGUGGCGUUAAUUACAAA